UACGGAGGGGGCUAGCGUUGUUCGGAAUUACUGGGCGUAAAGCGCGCGUAGGCGGACCUGCAAGUCGGGGGUGAAAGCCCGAGGCUCAACCUCGGAACUGCCUUCGAUACUGCGGGUCUCGAGUCCGGGAGAGGGUGAGUGGAAUUCCUAGUGUAGAGGUGAAAUUCGUAGAUAUUAGGAAGAACACCAGUGGCGAAGGCGGCUCACUGGCCCGGUACUGACGCUGAGGCGCGAAAGCGUGGGGAGCAAACAGG
RNAcentral lists this ribosomal RNA (254 nucleotides) under uncultured bacterium. Its description in RNAcentral is "partial 16S ribosomal RNA". It matches the Rfam family "Bacterial small subunit ribosomal RNA", at positions 524 to 776 of the family's 1533-position model. The record is from RNAcentral.